UUUCUUUUUUGCAUCGGUGUAUAACUAAUCUGAGUCUUUGUCCCAUAGGCUGUCGUUGACUUUAAGGUCAUGUACGAGAACAUGGCCUAUCUUCUAUAGAACAAAGAGGCCAUGGAUGCCAAUUUACUGAUACUUCAAGAGGAAGAGUCUGAAUGAGCUAAGAGCCUCAAGAGUAAGCUUGAAGAGAAGUUGACCUCGCUGAAGGAGAAAAAUCAAAAUCUCCUAGACCUUCAGUGAAAGAUAAAUGAAUAGGAGAUGAAAAUUUUUGAUCUGCACAUACAGGCCAAGAAGAAACAAAGAAGUGGAGCUG
This 310-nucleotide long non-coding RNA is filed under the name Elaeis guineensis (African oil palm). RNAcentral's name for it is "long non-coding RNA (EGUI_LNC028297)". Lineage: Eukaryota; Viridiplantae; Streptophyta; Magnoliopsida; Arecales; Arecaceae. The record is from RNAcentral.